This is a non-coding RNA of Acanthosepion pharaonis, 99 nucleotides long. NCBI's taxonomy places the organism in Eukaryota, Metazoa, Mollusca, Cephalopoda, Sepiida, Sepiidae. The record is from the annotation of a GenBank genome assembly.
AUUGAAACACUGGUUCUCAUAUGAUCACUGAAGUUAAGCAAUGUCAAGUCUGGUCAGUACCUAGAUGGGUGAACACUUUGGAAUACCAGGUACUGUAAG